AACGAACGCUGGCGGCAGGCUUAACACAUGCAAGUCGAGCGCAUCCUUCGGGGUGAGCGGCAGACGGGUGAGUAACGCGUGGGAACGUACCCUUUCCUACGGAAUAGCUCCGGGAAACUGGAAUUAAUACCGUAUACGCCCUUAGGGGGAAAGAUUUAUCGGGGAAGGAUCGGCCCGCGUUGGAUUAGCUAGUUGGUGGGGUAAAGGCCUACCAAGGCGACGAUCCAUAGCUGGUCUGAGAGGAUGAUCAGCCACAUUGGGACUGAGACACGGCCCAAACUCCUACGGGAGGCAGCAGUGGGGAAUAUUGGACAAUGGGCGCAAGCCUGAUCCAGCCAUGCCGCGUGAGUGAUGAAGGUCUUAGGAUUGUAAAGCUCUUUCACCGAUGAAGAUAAUGACGGUAGUCGGAGAAGAAGCCCCGGCUAACUUCGUGCCAGCAGCCGCCGUAA
Molecule: ribosomal RNA, 449 nt
Filed under: uncultured bacterium
Lineage: Bacteria
Description: partial 16S ribosomal RNA
Rfam family: Bacterial small subunit ribosomal RNA
Source: RNAcentral